This 435-nucleotide ribosomal RNA is filed under the name uncultured bacterium. Its description in RNAcentral is "partial 16S ribosomal RNA". It matches the Rfam family "Bacterial small subunit ribosomal RNA", at positions 29 to 507 of the family's 1533-position model. The record is from RNAcentral.
AACGAACGCUGGCGGCAUGCCUAACACAUGCAAGUCGAACGAGACCUUCGGGUCUAGUGGCGCACGGGUGCGUAACGCGUGGGAACCUGCCCUUAGGUUCGGAAUAACUCCCCGAAAGGGGUGCUAAUACCGGAUAAUGUCUUCGGACCAAAGAUUUAUCGCCUUUGGAUGGGCCCGCGUUUGAUUAGCUAGUUGGUAGGGUAAAAGCCUACCAAGGCGACGAUCCAUAGCUGGUCUGAGAGGAUGAUCAGCCACACUGGGACUGAGACACGGCCCAGACCCCCACGGGAGGGAGCAGUGGGGAAUAUUGCGAAAAGGGCGAAAGCCUGUCGGAGCACUGCCGCGUGGAGGUAGAAGGGCCGUGGGUUGUGAACUGCUUUUUGCGGAGAAGAAGUAAUGACGGUAGCGGGAGAAUAAGCCCCGGCUAACUCCGUG